RNAcentral lists this non-coding RNA (148 nucleotides) under Nomascus leucogenys (northern white-cheeked gibbon). Lineage: Eukaryota; Metazoa; Chordata; Mammalia; Primates; Hylobatidae. The record is from Rfam by way of RNAcentral.
GCCGGGCGUGGUGGUGUGUGCCUGUAGUCCUACCUACUUGGAAGGCUGAGGUGGGAGGAUCACUUGAGCCUAGGAGUUCAAGACUGCAAUGAGCUAUAAUCAUGCCACUGCACUCCGGCCUGGGCAACAGAGUGAGAGCCUGUCUCUA